CGAGCCGGGCGGACGGCCGCGACGGGAUCCCUGAUCCCGCCGAGGAACGUCCGGGCUCCACAGGGCAGGGUGGUGGGUAACGCCCACCCGGGGUGACCCGCGGGACAGUGCCACAGAAAGCAGACCGCCGGGGACCUCGGUCCCCGGUAAGGGUGAAACGGUGGUGUAAGAGACCACCAGCGCCUGAGGUGACUCAGGCGGCUCGGUAAACCCCACCCGGAGCAAGGUCAAGAGGGGCCGCCGCGAGGCGGCCCUGCGCGGACGUUCGAGGGCUGCCCGCCCGAGUCCGCGGGUAGACCGCACGAGACCGGCGGCAACGCCGGUCCUAGAUGGAUGGCCGUCUCCCCGGCCGCCGCGAGGCGACCGGGCGACAGAACCCGGCGUACAGCCCGACUCGUCUG
RNAcentral lists this RNase P RNA (401 nucleotides) under Streptomyces formicae. RNAcentral's name for it is "RNase P RNA component class A". It matches the Rfam family "Bacterial RNase P class A". Rfam says of the family: Ribonuclease P (RNase P) is a ubiquitous endoribonuclease, found in archaea, bacteria and eukarya as well as chloroplasts and mitochondria. Its best characterised activity is the generation of mature 5'-ends of tRNAs by cleaving the 5'-leader elements of precursor-tRNAs. Cellular RNase Ps are ribonucleoproteins. Lineage: Bacteria; Bacillati; Actinomycetota; Actinomycetes; Kitasatosporales; Streptomycetaceae. The record is from RNAcentral.